CUUUUUGCAGUGCACUCCUGAAUACGGUCCAGCUCACGGGCAUCAUUCAAGUGAUCAUUUGGAAUAGAUGAGGAGCAGGGCAGGACUGGUAAUCUGGCCUACCGGACAUUUUUCGUGUGGACCGACACACUUUGGGGCCGAUCAGGGUGGACUGGCCAUCGGGAGAACCGAGCGGGCCGCUGUGUCGGCCGCGAUAAUCUAAAACGAGCCGCCGCGUUAGCGAACACUUCCGCCCCCCCAACAACUUUUGGGCCAGUUGCUAUGUAAAAUCCCGGGCCGAUUUCUCUUUCCAGUCCAGCCCUGACAAGGAGUACAUGGAUAUUGUUGAUGUUAAACAAGGUUGAACAUGUUUGCCUCAAGUUCCUUGAAUGCAGAACCACCAUGGAGAUCCAGAACAUUUGUGGGGACAGAGAUGGGCCUUGUGAGUGUGUGCUGUUGAAGAAAUCUCUCCGCUGUCUUGCAGACUUUCAGGACGCUGUCUGACGGUCUUAUAAAUCCACCUCAGGACUUCAUGUCGAUCAGUGUGUUCAUCUUGGGAAGAGCUCUCGACACUGAGUGCUGAUAAACAGGCUGAACGUCACUGCCUGAAAUGCCAGCAUAUCAGAAGGUGCUGCCUCCAGAGUCACUGUGCUAUCCGGUGGAGAACUGUUGCCACUAGCUCUGAUGGCUUGUCUUGCUUCCAUUCUUUUGAAAGCUGAAUAAUGUGUGAUUGUUGUUAAAGAUUGUUCAGUUUAAGUCAAUUU
Xyrauchen texanus (razorback sucker) is the source of this 743-nucleotide long non-coding RNA. RefSeq lists it as uncharacterized. NCBI's taxonomy places the organism in Eukaryota, Metazoa, Chordata, Actinopteri, Cypriniformes, Catostomidae. The transcript has 3 exons. The record is from RefSeq and is a predicted model, not a curated record.